GAACGCACCUUGCACCCUCUGGUAUUCCGGAGGGUAUGCCCGGUUGAGCGUUUUGAAUAUCUCAAUUUCAAUGCUUUGUUAACAAGGCUUUUUCAGAGGACCUUCCUUGUCUAGCGAGACAUUGGGUUGGACUCGAUCAAGUCUGAGGUGUUGAAACUUGGACUUGAGCUCCGUUGGCCCUUUAGGUUGACCGGCUUGAAAUGCAUUAGCGAUGUCUGACCAAGGUGUCCUGAUUGGCGUGAUAAGCAUUGAUCGUCAUGAAAAGGUGCCGUUGUCUGUCUCUCCUAGCCGUCUUUGGACAAUACCUGACAUUUACACCUCAACUCGGGUAGGACUACCCGCUGAACUUAAG
This 352-nucleotide unclassified non-coding RNA is filed under the name uncultured Tulasnella. Its description in RNAcentral is "sequence contains 5.8S rRNA gene". The record is from RNAcentral. Lineage: Eukaryota; Fungi; Basidiomycota; Agaricomycetes; Cantharellales; Tulasnellaceae.